This 423-nucleotide ribosomal RNA is filed under the name uncultured bacterium. Its description in RNAcentral is "bacterial SSU rRNA". It matches the Rfam family "Bacterial small subunit ribosomal RNA", at positions 355 to 775 of the family's 1533-position model. The record is from RNAcentral.
UAAGGAAUAUUGGUCAAUGGGCGCAAGCCUGAACCAGCCAUGCCGCGUGCAGGAAGACGGCCCUAUGGGUUGUAAACUGCUUUUGUCAGGGAAUAAACCCCCGCUCGUGAGCGGGGCUGAAGGUACCUGAAGAAUAAGCAUCGGCUAACUCCGUGCCAGCAGCCGCGGUAAUACGGAGGAUGCAAGCGUUAUCCGGAUUCAUUGGGUUUAAAGGGUGCGCAGGCGGAUUGGUAAGUCAGGGGUGAAAUCCCACAGCUCAACUGUGGAACUGACUUUGAUACUGUCAGUCUAGAGUAUAGUUGAAGUGGGCGGAAUGUGUCAUGUAGCGGUGAAAUGCUUAGAUAUGACACAGAACACCGAUCGCGAAGGCAGCUCGCUAAGCUAUAACUGGCGCUCAGGCACGAAAGCGUGGGGAUCAAACAG